UGCUCUUCAGAUCUGUUAAUUCCCCCACACACAAACUAUCUCUCCUCCUCCUUUCCCGCUUCAGCAUAUGGUGAGGACGGUGUCACCGCAUCAAACAAGUCGCGCAGCCCAGCGCCGGGACGUCCGCGGGGAGCCGGGGGGUGCGGGGGAGGCAGGA
Molecule: long non-coding RNA, 157 nt
Organism: Empidonax traillii (willow flycatcher)
Lineage: Eukaryota; Metazoa; Chordata; Aves; Passeriformes; Tyrannidae
Exons: 3
Source: RefSeq, a predicted model, not a curated record